This is a non-coding RNA of Camelina sativa (false flax), 877 nucleotides long. The record is from RefSeq and is a predicted model, not a curated record. NCBI's taxonomy places the organism in Eukaryota, Viridiplantae, Streptophyta, Magnoliopsida, Brassicales, Brassicaceae.
UUUGAGCGAGCGAGCGAGCGAGAGAGAGAGAGAGAGAGAGCGUUCUCUAGCAAACGGCGUCGAUCUAUCAUUGGGUCUCUCCCUCAUCAUCAAGUUUCUCUGCUCUCGUCGAUGAUGAUUUUUGAAGGAGGAAGAACACAAAUUAGGGUUAGGGUUGAUGAUGACUCAAACAACAACGAACGGACAUCAAUAUGUGAGCAGAGGAGGAUUUGAUUGAUAUGAUGAUGAUGCUCGGAGGCGUAGGAGAGCGUUUUUCAUCCUCUCCACGGCGUCUCUGAUUUGACCGACGACGACCCCAAAUAAAAAGAUCGGGUAUGGUUUUGAAGAAUGUUGAAGAAGACGACUCAGACUGCUUUAUGGUUUUCUUUCUAUCAUCAACUUUAAGUGAAGACUGAAAUUCUGGAACAAUGGCAAGGGAUAAGCUAUCAGCUCACACAGAGACAUCGUAUAAGCAGAUCUGAGAGAGAUAUGGACAAAUCCUUUAUCAUUGACAUUAAUUGAUGUAGAUUUUGGCUGCUCCACCUUUGCCUGCAACACAAACAACUACACCACAUCUGCUAGCUAGAAUUUCAGGAAUAAUGGCAAGGGCUAACCAAGCCAGAUCACACAGAGACGUCUUUUAUUUCUUUAACGAAAAGAAGUGUUUAAGCAGAUCGGAGAUGGUUUGAUGAAUGAUGAAGGAUACUCAUACUGCUUAAGGUUUUCUUUCUAUCAUCAACACCACAAUCCAUAAGUGAAGAAUCAAUGGUUUGAAGUAUGAAUUAUGUAAUUCGGACUUUGGGGAUUUAUUAGGUUCAGUUUGAACAACGAUGAAGAGGAAGAAGACUCACACUGCCACGAACCAUAAUUGUUAGACUGCUUUGACGACGGCCAAGUA